UGGUUAAAAAAAUGAGAAUAUAUAUAUUUUAAUAAUAAUAAUAAUAAUAAUAAUAAUAAUAAUAAUAAAUUGUCGAAGUUCUAAAUUUCACAUGAAAAUCAUCAUGUUAAUAAUUGAUAUUUUCAACCUUUUUCCAUCUUUAAUAUGUUGUUCAUCCUGCCCAAUACUAUACUGAGAAACAAAGCAUUAUGUAAAGCAAUCAAGAAGACUCAAUCUUCUUUGGUAGGAGUCAGCCAGGAUGUUGACUCAGCAAUAUUUACCUUGUCUUUCAAAAAAAAAAAAAAUCCAAAUGGUCUGUUUCAGA
Long non-coding RNA from Poecilia latipinna (sailfin molly), 304 nucleotides. RefSeq lists it as uncharacterized. The record is from RefSeq and is a predicted model, not a curated record. Lineage: Eukaryota; Metazoa; Chordata; Actinopteri; Cyprinodontiformes; Poeciliidae. The transcript is spliced from 2 exons.